This is a non-coding RNA of Pantherophis guttatus, 839 nucleotides long. Lineage: Eukaryota; Metazoa; Chordata; Lepidosauria; Squamata; Colubridae. The record is from RefSeq and is a predicted model, not a curated record.
CUUUACUGACCUAUAUCUUCUCAGUUGAUUCGCGCAGCAGAGCAGAUUGCUGUGCCUCAGCUGUGUUACUCCUCAGCAAUAACGCGGAAGAGUGUUAAUUCAAUUACCUGUGAUGUCAUAAACCUUCCCAUCCAUCAUGGCAAAGUAUGUGAUCUUCAAUCCCAGCAUGCUGGAUUCCGCCCAGAAGUCACCUUCCUCAGCUGCAUGAAAUUUACUACAUUCUGCACAGUAUCGGCCAUCCAAUGGGUCACGAUCCAUCUCAAACCUCCUGCAGCAAAGAAUUUCAGAGUUUAGAAAGCACCAAAUUAGAGAAAUGAAUGUAGACUCUGCAAAGUCAUGAUCCUGCUGCUUGUGUAGUCUAGCUGACAUCCUGUUGCACCAGUGAAGAGAUAAUGACAGCUGGCCACUUACUUGUGCUUCCCUUGGCACUUGUUACACUUCAUUGUGUUCAUGACUUCCUUCAGAUCAUCCUGAAGCUUGGAAAGGAAAUCAUUCAUAGACUUCGUCAGCUCUGUCUCUGCCAUGCGCUUUCUGAAAAAAAAAGAAAGAUGGAGAAAAGCAAAAAUGGGUUUUUCAUUCAAUACACCUUGAAGAUUCAGGCUGGAAUUUUACAGGCUGAGAAAUGAACUGCAAUCCUCAGCAUCUCCAGACAAGAAGAUAAGAUAAGUUGAACCAAAUUUCCACACAUCCUGCUCCCUUGAUAGCCAAGAAGGACUCCAGUUGAGGGACACAAUGAUAACUGAAGUCUUCUUGAAUCAUUACUCAGUGGCUGCCUGAGGCUUUGAUCUAGUAGAUGCCUCACAGGGCAGGUUCUUUUCCUAUUAAAAGUUGUCUCUUGA